GAUCUUGAGGGAAGCGGUGAACCCUCGAGCCCAAGACGGGCGCCAGGGGCCGAGGGGGAGCGAGUGGCGCGACCGGCCCUCUGCACA
Molecule: non-coding RNA, 87 nt
Filed under: Thermus islandicus
Lineage: Bacteria; Thermotogati; Deinococcota; Deinococci; Thermales; Thermaceae
Also listed under: 1 other name
Description: c-di-GMP sequence
Rfam family: c-di-GMP-II-GAG riboswitch aptamer
Source: RNAcentral